CUUUCGGCGGUGACCGUGUAAUGAGUUGGUUGUCAUUGUCAACUCGUUUAACCCUAACUAACUUUUACCCGUCCUUCGUAUUGCACACACGUCCGCUGUUUUCAACAGCUUGCUUUCAGCGGGCGGCGAAUGGACUUUUACAGCGAAAAAAGCAAGUACGCGGUCGAGCGUCGGGAGAUACGGUUACUGUCCGGACGGCUGGGAUGCGGCCGCGUGUUCGGCCCGGCGAUUGAGACGGUUUAUGCGGCUAGCCCUCGGCCCGACUCGUCGACGGUCGACCAACGCUGGAAUGGUGUCACAGCUUACGGACAAACGUACAUCAAACGCCAGUGCAAAGUCUUCCUGGGUACGUGCAUUGGGUGCCGCUACUCAGAUUGAUAUCGCACACAUUU
This 392-nucleotide non-coding RNA is filed under the name Amynthas corticis. Lineage: Eukaryota; Metazoa; Annelida; Clitellata; Crassiclitellata; Megascolecidae. The record is from RNAcentral.